GGUCCAGGGAACACUGAACCAAAAUUUUGGUGGGUAUUGCCAGACUUCCUGCAAAGGGGCUGCACCAUUUCUCCCUUGUGAGAUGCUGUUCCACGUGGAGACAUCACCAUAGAAACGUCUGCAGAGACCAACAGAUCUCCCUAUGUAAACUAUACAAAGAGACAAACCUGGAGGAAUAGACCUUCAGAAGAGGAGGAGUGAGAACACCAGCUUUGCAGAUGGAGCUACAGCCUGGAGGGGCUCAGUAUGCUUCCACAGCCGAUGCCCACUCCUCAAAAAAAUCAGUAACAAGAAGACCCUUGGGGAAGAAGAAGGAGCAUUGCAAAAAAUAUAAGAAGAAUAACGUUAUUUUGUAUGGAAUUCUUCUGUGGUUGUGCAACUGCCUGUACCAGUGUCUAAUUCAUAGUAGGUGCUCAGUAACUAAUGAAUGAAUACAUGUGAUAUAAUCUGAUGACUAGACCGUACCCUGAGCAUUCUUAGAACAGAAGUUUUCUCUUCUUCGUUUAGCUUUGUUUUUUCUCUCCUGUCUCUUUUAUUAUUUGCAUGUGCAUGCCCUUUGGACACCCACUUCCCAUCAAAAUGUCAUGGAAAAAUUCUGUGAAGCUUGCUUGCAGGGUCAAACUGAUGUCAAAGGGAGGUGCUGGGAGAGACAAGUGAUAAAAAUAGCCCAGCUGAGGUCCCCACCUGUUUCUCCUGCUGUAACGCUGCGCUCUAGGCAAUAUUUCUUGAUUGUGUCUGUUGCCAUCUGCUUCAGUAUCAUCUGGGUGGUUUGUCAAAAAUUCCAAUUCCCAGGCCACAGCCCAAAGAGGCUGACUCAGUGCUUCUGGGAGGGGGACGUGAUGUGGUUCCUCCACACAACCAAGCUUGAGAACCUCUCUUCUAGAGGGAGGUGAGCCAAUAGUCUUUGAUCCCCAGUCCCCAAAAUCAGAAAGAAUGGAAAAUUUUGAAAACUGUAAGUUUUUCCUAACUCAUUUGGGGUGCACUCUAGGUAGGACCCACAAAGUGCCAUGAAGACACAUAUGAUCCUUUUUUAUUGCAUGUAAUGUGCACAUUCACACACUUUACUGAAGAGAGGUUUAGAAUGUGUUUGGUUAGAAGGUGUUGCCGUAACCCCACCAGGAAUGUCAUGGGAUGUAUGGUAUACGCACUGAAUUGCCUUUCUGACGUGCAAACACUUUUUGAACUCAGAGACACAUAUGGUCUCAAGGGGUUCAGAUAAAGGGCACUUGGAUUAGGUUCUCAUGUCCCAUCCGUAGGCGGUGUUUGAAGCUGUUAUAUUUGGGUCUGACAAUAAUAAGAAAGCCUAAUAGAAAGAUGGCUGCAUGGAGACCCAGGAGACUUCCUUUCUGGGCCUCCAUUCUCUCUCCUGAAAAUGAGAGAGGAGAUGGUAUUGAAGGCCUUUUGACUCUAAAACUGUGAUUUUCACACCUUCUUGCUCUUGCAAAUGUUGAGGCAUGACUGCCACAAAGAUUCGAUUGUGGUCUUAUGAUUUUUGCUGGGAAAAUCUAAAAAAGCCAAAACUUUUCUUGGUCUUUUGGGCUUGGAGACAGAUUCUUGAAUUAUGACAUGUCUCUCAGCAGUAUGAAAAGGCAUUCAUCCAAAUUCUGUAGACGUUUUGAUACAUUACUGCACUCAGCAAAGCUGUAGGAAACUACUAGAAGGCAGACGCAGUCAUGAACUCUGGAGAGCGCUAUGGAACACAGUGGAAGAAAGUUUGACUUAUGUUAGUUAGAGGGCGAGGGAAGAGAUAGAUCUGACAGCGUCUCCGUUACCAGCUGCUCCCAGAGCAGGUUUCAUCCAAAGGGCAGCAAAUGGGUUUUUAGCAGAAUCCUAGGGAUCCCUAAGCCCACGUGAGUAGGGUCUCUCUAGCCCUCAUUGCAGUCAUUGAAGUUUAAAUGAUCAUCCUAGGACCCUAUGAAAACCAGCAAGAUUUAGAAAAAUCUGAAAAAAAACCCAAAACCCUCAUACAACGCAAAAUAAAACAAAGUAACAUGAUCUGAGUUUGUUCUAUCGGAACCAAUGGACUAAAUUGUGUCUCCCUAAAACAUACAUGUUGAAGUCCUAACCCCCCAGUACCUCAGAAUGUGAACUUAUUUGGAGACAAGGUCUUCAUAGAGGCAUUGAUGUUAAAAUGAGGUCUUUAACCUCAUUAUUGGAUGACGGGCGUCCUUAUAUGAAAGGGAAAUCUGUACGCACGUGUGCAGGGAGAACAUUGUGAGAACAAGAAGGUGGCCAUCUAUAAGCCAAGGAGAGAGGCCCCGCGAAAUGACGCACACUGCUUAGUCCCCGGGCAGAGGGAGGCCUCAGUAACUCUCUAGUGUGCAUUGUAGCACUCAUUUCAUUCCUGGCUUGGUUUAUGCCCCAUUCUUUGUUUUCCAUUUGUUUCCUUUUCUAGUUUUGUCUUCUAGUUUUACUGUACUGCACUGGAUAUUUAUAAGCUUUUAGAUUUAGAGAUGAUAUAAAUUAGUAAGUAAAUACUGUCUUGCCUGAGCACACUUAGCUCAUACAUGGUUGGUAUGAAACAAUUCGAUGGCAACAGACAGCGCUCCUAUAACUACUGGGGAAGGAACUGUGAGAGAUGGGAAGGUUUAGUGUCACAGAACCACUGAUUUCUGCACUCUGGACAAGAGUUCUUUAGGCAAUGUGUCAUUUUAAAGCGGUGCUUGGGUAGCCAAAAAAUCAGGGCUGUCUUCAACUCUUCAUGAUACAGAACAGGGGGAAGAGAACAACAUUUCUAGAUGAAGGAAUUUUAUGAAGUAUGUCCAUAAGUCAAGCAAAAAGAAUGAUCGUUUCCUGAGUACCUGCUCCAUAGCUAGGACUGUGCUAGACACUUGUGCAGGCGAUCAUUUAACCCUGGCAAUAACUGCAUAAGGAGAUCUAUCUCGCUUCCUACUUAAUACUGAAAAAUACCUAGCUCAGAGAGGUAAAGUAACUUGUUUAAGAGCAGGCAAUUAGUAAAACGUUGUGCAGAGAUUUUUUUAAGACUUUUCUUUUUUUUUUUUAAAAGAUUUUAUUUAUUUAUUUGAGAGAGAGCGCGCAGAGGGAGAGUGAGAGGGGGAUGCAGAUUCCCUGCCGAGCAGGGAGCCCAAUGUG
Molecule: long non-coding RNA, 3093 nt
Organism: Ailuropoda melanoleuca (giant panda)
Lineage: Eukaryota; Metazoa; Chordata; Mammalia; Carnivora; Ursidae
Exons: 3
Source: RefSeq, a predicted model, not a curated record